UACGAAGGGGGCUAGCGUUGUUCGGAUUUACUGGGCGUAAAGCGCACGUAGGCGGAUCGUUAAGUCGGGGGUGAAAUCCUGGAGCUCAACUCCAGAACUGCCUUCGAUACUGGCGAUCUCGAGUCCGGAAGAGGUGAGUGGAACUCCUAGUGUAGAGGUGGAAUUCGUAGAUAUUAGGAAGAACACCAGUGGCGAAGGCGGCUCACUGGUCCGGUACUGACGCUGAGGUGCGAAAGCGUGGGGAGCGAACGGG
RNAcentral lists this ribosomal RNA (253 nucleotides) under uncultured bacterium. RNAcentral's name for it is "partial 16S ribosomal RNA". It matches the Rfam family "Bacterial small subunit ribosomal RNA", at positions 524 to 776 of the family's 1533-position model. The record is from RNAcentral.